GUCACGCCCGAAGUCGUUACAAGGUAGCCGUACCGGAAGGUGUGGCUGGAUCACCUCCUUU
RNAcentral lists this ribosomal RNA (61 nucleotides) under Synechocystis aquatilis SAG 90.79. Its description in RNAcentral is "partial 16S ribosomal RNA". Lineage: Bacteria; Bacillati; Cyanobacteriota; Cyanophyceae; Synechococcales; Merismopediaceae. The record is from RNAcentral.